AGUGAACGCUGGCGGUAGGCCUAACACAUGCAAGUCGAACGGCAGCACAGGAGAGCUUGCUCUCUGGGUGGCGAGUGGCGGACGGGUGAGGAAUACAUCGGAAUCUACUCUGUCGUGGGGGAUAACGUAGGGAAACUUACGCUAAUACCGCAUACGACCUACGAGUGAAAGCAGGGGACCUUCGGGCCUUGGGCGAUGGACUGAGCCGAUGUCGGAUGAGCUAGUGGGCGGGGUAAAGGCCCACCAAGGCGACGAUCCGUAGAUGGUCUGAGAGGAUGAUCAGCCACACUGAAACUGAGACACGGUCCAGACUCCUACGGGAGGCAGCAGUGGGGAAUAUUGGACAAUGGGCGCAAGCCUGAUCCAGCCAUACCGCGUGGGUGAAGAAGGCCUUCGGGUUGUAAAGCCCUUUUGUUGGGAAAGAAAUCCAGCUGGCUAAUACCCGGUUGGGAUGACGGUACCCAAAGAAUAAGCACCGGCUAACUUCGUGCCAGCCGCCGCCGUAA
Molecule: ribosomal RNA, 506 nt
Filed under: uncultured bacterium
Lineage: Bacteria
Description: partial 16S ribosomal RNA
Rfam family: Bacterial small subunit ribosomal RNA
Source: RNAcentral